GGUGACCAGCGGAGGGAUCAUUACCGAGUUUACAACUCCCAAACCCCUGUGAACAUACCACUUGUUGCCUCGGCGGAUCAGCCCGCUCCCGGUAAAACGGGACGGCCCGCCAGAGGACCCCUAAACUCUGUUUCUAUAUGUAACUUCUGAGUAAAACCAUAAAUAAAUCAAAACUUUCAACAACGGAUCUCUUGGUUCUGGCAUCGAUGAAGAACGCAGCAAAAUGCGAUAAGUAAUGUGAAUUGCAGAAUUCAGUGAAUCAUCGAAUCUUUGAACGCACAUUGCGCCCGCCAGUAUUCUGGCGGGCAUGCCUGUUCGAGCGUCAUUUCAACCCUCAAGCACAGCUUGGUGUUGGGACUCGCGUUAAUUCGCGUUCCUCAAAUUGAUUGGCGGUCACGUCGAGCUUCCAUAGCGUAGUAGUAAAACCCUCGUUACUGGUAAUCGUCGCGGCCACGCCGUUAAACCCCAACUUCUGAAUGUUGACCUCGGAUCAGGUAGGAAUACCCGCUGAACUUAAGCAU
This 521-nucleotide ribosomal RNA is filed under the name Fusarium oxysporum f. sp. ranunculi. Its description in RNAcentral is "eukaryotic LSU rRNA". The stretch from base 172 to 325 matches the Rfam family "5.8S ribosomal RNA". Lineage: Eukaryota; Fungi; Ascomycota; Sordariomycetes; Hypocreales; Nectriaceae. The record is from RNAcentral.